Molecule: ribosomal RNA, 279 nt
Filed under: uncultured bacterium
Lineage: Bacteria
Description: partial 16S ribosomal RNA
Rfam family: Bacterial small subunit ribosomal RNA
Source: RNAcentral
UGCCAGCAGCCGCGGUAAUACAGAGAGUGCAAGCGUUAAUCGGAAUUACUGGGCGUAAAGCGCACGUAGGUGGAUUCUUUAGUCGGAUGUGAAAGCCCUGGGCUUAACCCAGGAAUUGCAUCCGAUACUGGGUUUCUAGAGUAUAGUAGAGGGAAGUGGAAUUUCCGGUGUAGCGGUGAAAUGCGUAGAUAUCGGAAGGAACACCAGUGGCGAAGGCGGCUUCCUGGACUAAUACUGACACUGAGGUGCGAAAGCGUGGGGAGCAAACAGGAUUAGAUA